UUGCCAGCCCGCUCAGAACUAAAGGAAUUGACGGGGCCGCACAAGCGGAGGAGCAUGUGGUUUAAUUCGAUGAUACGCGAGGAACCUUACCUGGGCUCGAACGUAAGAUGACUGUAGGUGAAAGCUUACAUCUCUUCGGAGCAUUUUACGAGGUGCUGCAUGGUUGUCGUCAGCUCGUGCCGUGAGGUGUCGGGUUAAGUCCCAUAACGAGCGCAACCCCUACCUUUAGUUGCCAUCAGGUUAAGCUGGGGACUCUAAAGGAACUGCCUACGCAAGUAGUGAGGAAGGCGGGGAUGACGUCAAAUCAGCACGGCCCUUACGUCCAGGGCUACACACGUGCUACAAUGGCCGAUACAGAGGGCAGCUACCUGGUGACAGGAUGCAAAUCUCCAAAGUCGGUCUCAGUUCGGAUCGGAGUCUGCAACCCGACUCCGUGAAGUUGGAUUCGCUAGUAAUCGCGCAUCAGCCAUGGCGCGGUGAAUACGUUCCCGGGCCUU
RNAcentral lists this ribosomal RNA (497 nucleotides) under uncultured Sphingobacteriales bacterium. RNAcentral's name for it is "bacterial SSU rRNA". It matches the Rfam family "Bacterial small subunit ribosomal RNA", at positions 903 to 1382 of the family's 1533-position model. Lineage: Bacteria; Pseudomonadati; Bacteroidota; Sphingobacteriia; Sphingobacteriales. The record is from RNAcentral.